RNAcentral lists this ribosomal RNA (298 nucleotides) under Adineta environmental sample. Its description in RNAcentral is "partial large subunit ribosomal RNA". It matches the Rfam family "Eukaryotic large subunit ribosomal RNA", at positions 40 to 322 of the family's 3401-position model. Lineage: Eukaryota; Metazoa; Rotifera; Eurotatoria; Adinetida; Adinetidae. The record is from RNAcentral.
AUAUUAAUAAGCAAAGGAGAGGAAAUCAACUGAGAUUGCCUUAGUAAUUGCGAAUGAACCGGCAAAAGCUCAUUGCUGAAGCGUGUUAAAUUCAUUUUUGACAUGCAUUGUAGCAUUUAGGGUGACUAUUGUAUAGUACCUAUUCGUGUGAGUUCCUUUGAUCAGGGCUUUAACCAUAGAAGGUGCUAGUCCUAUAAUCACGAAUAGUUUUGUGCUGUACAUUGUACACCUUUCGGGUAGCGUAGUUUGAGAUUGCUACGCCAACAUGGGACGUAAACUUGUUCCAAAAGCUUAAAUA